Paramormyrops kingsleyae is the source of this 1624-nucleotide long non-coding RNA. RefSeq lists it as uncharacterized. The record is from RefSeq and is a predicted model, not a curated record. NCBI's taxonomy places the organism in Eukaryota, Metazoa, Chordata, Actinopteri, Osteoglossiformes, Mormyridae.
GGGACAUCCAGACAGCUGAGACAUUAGGCCCCGAUGAGAGCCCCAGCCGUCCACACUAAUCCAUCUCGAUACUCCGCUUCCCAAAUGCCGUAACCGAUAACUGGAAUUUCACGGAUCGGUCACUCCCUGCUCACCUCAGAUCCUCUAUGUCGUAAUAAAAUAAUAGCAGCUAAAAUGAAACACUAAGCAGUUCCUACAAAUUUCUGUAUAAAUCGAUCAAUAAUCUUGACGACUCUAAUAUGCCUUUUAAAAACAAUAUGGACAUUAGCACUAUUUAGCUUUGCGUUGCCUUUUCCCCUAAGACUGUCUUAGCAGACAAUAUUUCCAGACUAAUUUUUAGACUAGUUAGUACAUGUUUUCAAAGCAGACAUUCUUCGUCAUCUGGCUUGAAAAGAAGAGAGACAAGAUCCCUCCCUUCAGCGAGGGACAUGAUGAUUAGCCUGAUCACCUGCAACAGAUACAUCCUGUGUCUGCGCUCCGGGCACGGAGCCAGCGACCGAUUGGCUGGUUAGCAGUGGGGCGGAACAGGGCCGAGUGACAGCUUGAAGGACACACUGGGUGUGAGCCCCCCUCGACACAUCGAAGAGGAACUGGACUGUACUUCCUUUAGCUGCCCGUAUAGCUUUACACAAGCGGAAGAGACUUUGGCAGGAAAUUUACAUAUAUUCCUGUGGAUUCACGAAUGGACAUAUUUAUUUCCUACUCGUAUGUUUGUGUAGACAAAGUAGUGCAGUAAAACAUAAAACAAUGUGUAAAUCCACGAAAGAGAAAAACAGGUGGAAACAAGUGGCCUCAUUUAAGUGUUUACUAAUGAAGAAUCCUGGAAACACAUACGUAUUUUUUCAAAAAUACAAUAAACAUAGCCUAAACAUAAUGCUUACCAAAAUACUCAGUUUCAAGAGAGCUACAAAACUUAGUGACCGCCCAUUUUCUAAACUAAGACAUUUCUAACAAGCAUUACUUCAUCACAGCCAGGUGUUGUAAGAAAGAAUGAACUGUUGAUCAUUGGUAGGCAACAAAUGGUACUUCACUCUCUUUACAUGGCUGCCAACUAGACAUGAAGAAGAAUAUUUAUGCAAUAGCAACUAUUCUAAAUGACACCUAUUAAGCUCUCACAAUCAGUGAGAUUUAUUUGUUUAUUUUUACAGGACGCUACCUAACUAGCUGUUCAGGAAUGACCCAAACGGAUGCCAGAAGAAGAAACUUGCCGUUAAGCCAUCGGGAUAUUCAAUAUUUCUGCGUUGAGGACGGCAGUACACUGUUAGCGCAGCUUGACAUAAACAUGGGGAGGACCAGCAGAUGGGCUGACUGGUGACUAUGGCACUCCCGAGGUCAGAUUGUACUGGGAUAUGUCACGACCUGCCCAAACACACCUGCUCGCGCCGCCGUCUCCACUCACUGCCACUUUCCACUUAUAUCAUCUCAGUUCCUUUUGCUUCCACGCAUGAGUUGAACUUGGCUAGCGUGAAAAAAUGUAAACGGCCUUUUUCUCCGUGCAUUUUCCACCUUUGAAGUCUGAAGUGUGAUUGUUUUUGGGCCGCUGCCGGUUUCUGUCGAAGGCCCUGACAUGAAAAAGCAGCCUGUGCUCUCAAGUUUAGCUCAUUGCCAGUGAUCCAGGACUAAA